This is a long non-coding RNA of Siniperca chuatsi (mandarin fish), 5094 nucleotides long. RefSeq lists it as uncharacterized. The record is from RefSeq and is a predicted model, not a curated record. The transcript is spliced from 5 exons. NCBI's taxonomy places the organism in Eukaryota, Metazoa, Chordata, Actinopteri, Centrarchiformes, Sinipercidae.
CACUUUCUUUAUAUUAACACAACCCACACACAGAUGGUUAACUAGGGAGUGCUACAUCUCAGCUCAAAGGUUUUGGAAGCCAUCAGUGUCGAUAGAUGACAUUUUUUUUUCAUGCCGCAUGCUUCUCAGAUUUGGACUGGUGUGUUACUGCUGAAAGCCUUUUCCUGUUUUUGACUCUCAGAUCCACAGCCACGCUGUGAUCACACUGCACAUUGAGGAAACCAUAUCUACUGAGGAUACAUAGCCUGGAUGCCAAAACCUGCUCUCAGUCUAAACAUUCUCAUACUGGAUAUCAAGGAGGACACUUCUCUCAACUCCUAAUGGCCAGGUUGUGCAGCAUAUGCAGGAGUUUUAUGCGACACAGAGGAGAGGCAGAUCUGGGGAGAGAGUGACGGUGUGACGGGACUCUGGAAGCAGGCGGUCUCCUGUCUCUUGGGUCCGUUUCUGUUCUGCUUGCUGGAGAUGCUGUGGCACCAGCUGUGAGUCUGUCCAGCCAGUCAGCAUGAGACAUCUGGGAUGCAUUGGACCCGUGAGAGAGGAGAGAGGGGGGCAGCUGGAACCUAUCAGAGCCCAGGAGAUCAGCAGAUCUGUUCUGUGUGUAUGGGAUCUGACCUGUCCUGAGCCCUAAACUCAUCCACUGUCCCACAUAGGGAUGAUGACAAGACACACAGGCCGUUAACUGGGUGAGGAGUGUUAGCUGUCCUACAUUACACUCCCUAUAACUCAGUGACACCGUAUGGAGUGCUGAGGUUACAGGACUACUUGUUGCUGUGAAUUUUGACCAAGCCCCCAGGAACGGAGCUGGGCUGUGAAGCAAUUUUGGCAUAGUGGCAGCAUGGGGUAUUGCACGUGAUGCACACUGUGAUAAAAAGCAUUUUUCUCAUGCGCAAAAAUUGGAAGAGGAGCAGCUGUAAAAUGAGAGCCAUCAGGAAGUCAGCAGGCUCGGCCAGCGGAAGUCUCCCUUACGCAUGUUCUCAACCGCCUUGGCUGGAGAAGGAAGUGUGCAUGCUCUAUGGGCCCAAAAACCUUCCUCUACGAGGAAGCCUGUGGAGGCUUUUUUGGCACCUCUUUUGAAAAAUGUGAAAAUAUGCACAAUAGCUGCAGCAUCAUUUUAGUUUGUUUUCAUGCACAAAAAAUUAGGAGAAUUCACAUUUAAUUUAGAAUUUAACAUGAGAGAGGGAUAUAAACUGUACAGUCAUCCUGUCACUUAGAGACGAUCUGAUUCCUGCAGCUCCGGAGCCGCUGUGAGAAGCCUGGGAAUCCUGGAAUUCCAGAAUUCCAAAUUGGUUCCCUUUCCUUCCAGGAAAUAUCUCCACUUCAUUGUUUUUCUACUUGCCCUUUUUGAAACCGUCCAGUUCAGCACUGCCCUAAUAUCAAAGUCACAGGUGGAGACCUGUCCUGCAGAGGGGCUGUUAGAUUCACUGUCACACAGCUCACUGACUCACAAACAACUCGUGACCCAUGCAGCUAUAUUUUUUUCACCUGCCAGAUACUCCUUUCUUCAUCAAUGCAACCAUACACAUGCAAAGUUAAUUUUUGUAAUUAUUCACUAAUGCAAAUUGACAAGUUGGAUUCCCCCCAAAACAGAGUUGACCUCUUAAGACACCAGAGCCCCCAAUCUGUGUUUUGGACCACCAAGGUCCUGUCGCCAAUUUGACCUUUGACAUAAUUGUUGACUGUUAGUUUAGCCAGUGCUCUCUCUCUGCAUCUGUCUGCAUUAUGUCCUUCUCACUCAACAUGCUCCAAGAAUCUUUUAUCCUUUCUUUCCUUCUUCACCUUCAGUGCUACAUCGCCUUUCUAUUAUGUCUUUCUUUUGUAUUUCUUCUUUUGACCUUCAUUUUGCAGCUUUCAUCUUUUCUCUCUUUUUUCCAUCUCUGUUCAUCUCUUUUCUCCAUCUAUUAUUAAAAAGGCCAUCCAACAUCCAAUGUAAUAACCUCUGUUGUGUUCUCCACAGCUCCUGCAGUUACUAUGGUCAGUGACCGCCUGGGUCAGCACAGCUCUUUGCCAUCUCUUCUUGAGGCCUGAGGUUCAGCUGAUACAUCAAUAUGGGGUCAAGGAAAUAUCAAAAUAAUGAUCCAGUAUUCCUGCCUCUAUGUGGCCUCUUACCAUGUGGAAUUCCUAAUUGUCCAAGCAGCUAUUCCCAAGAUCUCAAUGCGAUUAGAAAGAGCUUCAGCGUGUGUGUGCGAGAGGGAGGGAGACUGUAUGUGUACUUGCGAGUAGAUCGAGAGGCUGCAGAGUCGUAGUCACUAGAGUAGCAUAAUAGAGGUCUUACAGAGUGCACACACACAGUAAAUCUUGUGUCACAAUGGAGGGUGAGAGUACAUUUGCAAGGUUAUAUGAAAAACAUUGGCCAAACAUCUGGUUAGUCGCUGCAAUAAGGUGAGGGUGUGUUUCAUUGUUGUGCUGUGUUUCAGUGAUGUGGAUUCAGAUAUACGGGCAACAAAUAACAGUAACUGGGGCCUUUAUUCUUGGUUGAGCCCCAGUUCAUCAUGGUUAGUAUGACAGAAAUGGCUGACCUUUGUGUGACGAAAGGAUCAGUCAUAGACCUGUGUUCUUAAAAGGGUGUGAGGGCAAUGCUGACUCCUUGUGAGAACCUUAUUCUGGCAGCCUAUAUUUCACAAUGGGGCUCUGUUUAGGAUGACAUCAGAGGCUGGUUGCACAAAGACAGACUCUGAGCAUGGAUUAGAUAAAAAAAAAAAAACGUUAUGUAGAAUUGCAUAAAUAAAUCCACCGUUUUGCCAUGUGUAUUUGAAAGAGAAAACAAAAGACAAAAGCACUGUAACUUUAUGGGGACAUGAGAUGUCACCUUAUGUAAUGAAGAGAAUCAGACUUUCUGACAAACAUUAUGAUCUCAGAUCAUGAUGUAGUCCAGAACCUGCUGGUAAGUUUUUGUAACACAGAGAUUGUGGGUUCAAAUGCUGUACUGGAAUUUUUUUGUCCAAAAACAGCUUUUUCUGUAUUAGAACCAAACCAAGAAAAAAGAAACGUCCACGUAAAGUACUGCAUUUAUAAACUGAUUCAUUUUGAACAUUUAAUUUAUUUAUCAAUUUACUUGUAUACAGAAUUAGUCAGCAGUGACAAAAGAUAACCACUUAUACUGUUUAAAACAUAAUUACAGCUAACCCUUUCUCCCUCUUUAACCCUUUCUCAAUACACUGUUCUGGUUAAGAUGCCAAAGGGAGGCUUAUAGUAAAUGCAUUUAAAGUAGAAUGUACACCGGAAGUAUCAAAAGAUUGUCAGUAAAUUAAUUUGCACUUGCAUCCAUUCAGUUUUACCACAAUUUAAAUUGGUCAACCCAAACUGACACACUGUUAGGUUAAGUGCAUUUCACAUUGAAAUCAAACAAUUUGGCGCACACAAGUCUGAGUGACACAUUGUCAGUGAUAGCCAAACAGAAAAAACUCAGAUCUAUUGACACAGCUGGCUGUUUAUGAGGGCAACAGAGAAGCAAACUGAACAGAUAAACAGAGCUACUCGAGGUCUAAGAUACAGGCUGGCUCUGUGGCCUGCUGGUCAAACAAAAGCCAGAUGCUAUCCUGGCUUCCUAGAUUAUUUCCCAUAUUAUUUAUUAACCUCACUCAUGGUCCAUGCCAAGGAUAUCAAGAAAUUUUACUUUCCACCAGUGUGUUGCAUCCAGUUCAUCAUAAGCCAGACGACAUUUUAGCCAACCCAUCGUUUUAGGGUUUUGAACCUCCGGACCUAUCUGAUGGAGAUGGAAGCCCAUUGAAACACAUCCCACCUAUCAAUGAUGGGUCCAAAUGGUCCUAGAAAACAGUCAAGCACCAUUUCGCCUCUGUAAUGCCCCAACAUGUGCUGUUCAGAGUGACUUCAGCUUUGCUUGCAACUCCAAGGACAUCAUUGUCCUGUUGCUGCUGAUGUAACAGCAGCCGCUGGCCAGGCUGUUAUAUAAGCUCUGGAGGCACAUGAAAAAGCCAAAUUGCAAAUGAAAAUCAGCGAAAAUCUCUCUGGUCACUUCUAGAGAACCACACAACUCCUCCUAACACAGGCUACUGGCCAACCACAUCAUCACAGCUCUGCACUGUUAUGAUCCUUCUCUCUAUCCCUCUCUCCCUCUCACUCAAUAUGACUGCCAUAUGGAGGAACCGCAAAUCAACAGCUGAGGGGAUGUGUGCUUGUGUAAAUUUAACAUAUUAAUAUGUGUGAUAUCUGCUGAAUAGAUGUGUGUCUGCCACAUGUAUGUAAAGUGUUGCAUAGGUUUAGAGCUUGAAUGACGGUCUUUUGAUUUCUUAUUCCUUUGCAAAUGAAAAAAAUACAGUCAUUAACAUACCAUGACACAAACAAUAGUGACACUUUAAAAGUUGCAUUGUUGAAAUUCUCCCUCAAUUGUUGAGUGCUAUGUGAUGAAAACAACACUCCCAAAUCGAAGUCAGCGCCCCUGUGGGCUAAGCUGAUGACACAGAACAAUAAGUUAAGUGAUUCUGAUCAUAAAAAUGAAAGCCAUCUCUCCUGGAGACCAGCCAAGAAUUCCAAACAUGUUCGAUCCAGUGAGUUAGGGCGCCCAGUGUCAUGCACUCAUUCAACCCUCUUUCUUUUCAAACUGUGAAAACUUUAGAAUUUAUUUUAUCUGGAUUACAGAGACACUUAAAUCAAUGAGCCAUGUCAUUAGCAACACCUGGUGCAAUAUCUGUAUCGACAGGCACUAAAAAUAGUUUGUUAUACCACUUAAAUUACUACAGCCGAACGGGCAGUUUGUCAGGGAGUCUACACAAUCACCACCGUCUCCGCCCACCACAGUCAUUAGGUCCCAAUCACCCGACUACUGAUUACACUCACCUGUCAGCAACCACCCGCCAGCACUAUAAAGCAGCACUGCUCCCGUUCACUUAUUGUCUGGUCUCAAUCCUACUAUGUUGAUAUACCCGACUCACUUACAUGUCCCUUGGAUUCCCCUCGGCCCUCGCUUGCAAUCGUCUCCUGGCUCCAGCUCCACGCCAUACCCCGGAAAAGAAAAGGAUUUCAAUACUCAGAUGAAACUUUAACAAAGACUUUCCAUCAUCCCGUUCCCUUACCUGCAUUCUCCUUCAUCUGUGUUGGUCGCCUGCUGUUGUCAAUAAACCUGCCAUAGUAUCUGCA